Molecule: long non-coding RNA, 374 nt
Filed under: Sorghum bicolor (sorghum)
Lineage: Eukaryota; Viridiplantae; Streptophyta; Magnoliopsida; Poales; Poaceae
Description: long non-coding RNA (SBIC_LNC002353)
Source: RNAcentral
CUCCAUCUCCUCCGCCGCCGGGCGCGUGGUCACCAGCUUGCCUGGCUUCGACGGCGACCUCCCCUUCCACCUCGAAACAGGGUGCGUGCCUACCUUCUUUGUUCUUUCUUCUACUAGUAGUGUUGUUCUUCUUCUUCUUCUUCAUCGUCCUGGUAGCUCACGGCACAUUUGAUAGGAUUUUAAUUAAUUAAUUAAUUGCGGUUGCUCUGAAACUGGAAACUGAAUUUAAAGGUACGUGGAGGUGGACGAGGACGCCGGCGUCGAGCUCUUCUACUACUUCGUCCGGUCCGAGUCCGAGUCCGAGUCCGGCGACGCCCCUUUCCUCUUCUGGCUCACCGGCGGCGACCGCUGCUCCGUCUUCAGCGGCCUCGCCU